This 1425-nucleotide long non-coding RNA is filed under the name Mytilus galloprovincialis (Mediterranean mussel). The record is from RNAcentral. Lineage: Eukaryota; Metazoa; Mollusca; Bivalvia; Mytilida; Mytilidae.
AGUAUAUAUUUUGUAUAUAUUUCUUUGAUUCCGAUUGUAUUAAAUACUUUUGAUAAGAAUAUUAUCUUUCUGUUUUCGAUCUAAAUAUUAAUAUUUUAACCAGAAUGUUCUCUCCCGUAAGUCUAUGAUGAAAUACACAGUAAUUCCGUGGUUAAAUCUUCAAACAUAAUUAGUUAACAUGUUAUCGAGACAACAGACAAUACCACGUUAUAAUUGACCCAGAUACACACAGUGUACAGUGGUCGAUUUAAAACAAAUAUAAUUGCGUCGUCAAGGGCCAUCAAGGGAUCAUAACAGAUAACGUAGAUAACAACCUGUUAAGACCUGUAUAAAUGACCGAAAACUUUAGAGACGUUCCGAGAAUUUUAUUCUGACUUCCGGCCGAGAGAUAUCGAGUGGACCAUAGACACAUCCAAAACUCGCCAAUAUAUAAGCAUGAACCCCUUUUCAUUUUGUGUUGGAUGUUAUUUGACUCACGCAGCUACGGUGGCACAUGCUGCUGCGAUUUUUCAGGUUGAACAAUUAAAGCUCUUUGAUUUCUUUCUUACUGAUAAUCCUACAGUUUGCCCCUGUCCCCUGUAAAGUUGUUUUCACGUAAAGGAGGCUUUACUUUUAACAAACAAGAGAGUGUUUUUACUUUAAAUAGUUAUCAAAGGUACCAGGCUUAUAAUUUAAUACACCAGGCACUCGUUAUGUCUACAUAAGACUCAUCAGUGACCCUCAGAUCAAAAUAGAUAGAAAACCAAACAAGUAUAAAGUUGAGGAACAUUGAGGCAUACCUGUCAACUGACCCGGAUUCUGUGGGUGUGACCCGAGAUUUUCACAAUUCUGAGGGUUCACCCGGAUCACCCGCCGGGUCAUUGAAAUAACCCGGAAAUUCCGAAAAUGACCCGAUUUCACCCGUAUUUCUUAGCCUUGAGAUUGAUUUUCAUAAGUAAUAUUCCUUUGAAAUACCGGCAAAUUCGUAAUUCUUCCAUGAACAUGCAGUUCAUCUAGCUAUGUAAACUGUCAAAUUAAGUGACCCAUUAAGUGCAUGGCUUCACUUGACAGCUUUGGUGUCAAACACACUGUUGAUUAACACCAAUUACCUUAGCUUUAAGUCGUAAAUAAAUUGCCCUGUUGUUUUACAAAGAUAUUUCAACUAAGAUUUACUUCCCCUUAUUUGUCACCAUUCAAAAUUAUUCCUUAUAUUUACGUUUUAUGGGUGGAAAAGAUUAAAUCAUAAUAAUAUAAAAUUCAAAUACAUAUUGAAAAAUAACUUUUCAUUAUUUUUAUACCUUUUAAAUAUACAAUUUAAAAAAAAAAAAAAGUUGAAAAUUAUUUUUUACAUUUAUACUUCCUUCCUUUAACUGUAUUACUAUAUUUUAUCAUAGUCUAAUUUCUUUGUCAACUGAGAGCCGACCGUGCAAGGGCUGUAUAGCCAGU